RNAcentral lists this non-coding RNA (30 nucleotides) under Rattus norvegicus (Norway rat). Lineage: Eukaryota; Metazoa; Chordata; Mammalia; Rodentia; Muridae. The record is from RNAcentral.
UGAGACAAUGGCUGAAAUAUCAGAAGGUGU